This 702-nucleotide long non-coding RNA is filed under the name Amborella trichopoda. RNAcentral describes it as "long non-coding RNA (ATRI_LNC001578)". The record is from RNAcentral. Lineage: Eukaryota; Viridiplantae; Streptophyta; Magnoliopsida; Amborellales; Amborellaceae.
AUGUAUGGACUUUUUUGGAUUUUUUUUUUAAUUUAAAUAAUUUGGUACUGGCAAGUACAGUAUAAUACAACAAGCCACUGGAAAACCAUAGCCAGUGGGGUCAUCUCUGUCCAAUGAAAUGAUGGAUGAUGAUGAAUAGAGAGUGGGGCUCACCCGAUUAAGACAUGGCCACAAUGGUGUUCCCACUCUUUGUACACCAUCAGUUUUUUGGGGAGUGGUGAUCCAAUGGACCAGGAGCUCGAUUAAGAUUGAGAGUAGGGGAUCUUGAAAUGCUGGUGUAUUCCUAAGGUUCGGAGUUCCUCCCUAUAAUGCAUAUAUUUUAGUGGUCUAGGUCUCCAAAUGUUAAGGAUCGAGAUCCUAAUCUUUUGGGGAUCUUGAUCUCAACCCUUUAAGAUCUUGAUCCCAACCUUAAAGAGUAUCCCUAGUUUAAGACUAUAUAUAUAACCUUUAAAGUGGGGAUCUCUUUAUUUACAACCAACAAAGCAAUGCAACUAUAUCAAGAGUAUAAUUAUGUUGCCAGUUAGCUAUAAAUUAAGAAAAUUAUCAGUUUGGUUAUUAUCUUGUUCUUUAAGGUUGUUAUCAAGAUCUCUAAUAGUGGGGACCGAGAUUCCAAAAUUUAAAAAUUAGUAUCCCUUGAAGGUCCCUUUUUGCAGCACCAAAGUGAAAUUUCAGAGCUGUAUCCCUAGCUAUAUUGGAAGAUCC